Molecule: ribosomal RNA, 253 nt
Filed under: uncultured bacterium
Lineage: Bacteria
Description: partial 16S ribosomal RNA
Rfam family: Bacterial small subunit ribosomal RNA
Source: RNAcentral
UACGUAGGGGGCUAGCGUUGUCCGGAAUCAUUGGGCGUAAAGAGCGCGUAGGCGGCCAGAUAAGUCCGGUGUGAAAGUCAAAGGCUCAACCUUUGAAUGCCGCUGGAAACUGUCUGGCUAGAGUCCGGAAGGGGCGAGUGGAAUUCCUGGUGUAGCGGUGAAAUGCGCAGAUAUCGGGAGGAACACCAGCGGCGAAGGCGGCACUCUGGGCUGGAACUGACGCUGAGGAGCGAAAGCGUGGGUAGCAAACAGG